This 613-nucleotide ribosomal RNA is filed under the name uncultured bacterium. Its description in RNAcentral is "bacterial SSU rRNA". The stretch from base 1 to 519 matches the Rfam family "Bacterial small subunit ribosomal RNA", at positions 338 to 873 of the family's 1533-position model. The record is from RNAcentral.
CCUACGGGAGGCAGCAGUGGGGAAUAUUGGACAAUGGGCGAAAGCCUGAUCCAGCAAUGCCGCGUGAGUGAUGAAGGCCUUAGGGUUGUAAAGCUCUUUUACCAGGGAUGAUAAUGACAGUACCUGGAGAAUAAGCUCCGGCUAACUCCGUGCCAGCAGCCGCGGUAAUACGGAGGGAGCUAGCGUUGUUCGGAAUUACUGGGCGUAAAGCGUACGUAGGCGGUUAUUCAAGUCAGAGGUGAAAGCCUGGAGCUCAACUCCAGAACUGCCUUUGAAACUAGAUAGCUAGAAUCUUGGAGAGGUGAGUGGAAUUCCGAGUGUAGAGGUGAAAUUCGUAGAUAUUCGGAAGAACACCAGUGGCGAAGGCGACUCACUGGACAAGUAUUGACGCUGAGGUACGAAAGCGUGGGGAGCAAACAGGAUUAGAUACCCUGGUAGUCCACGCCGUAAACGAUGAUAACUAGCUGUUCGGGCUCUACGAGCUUGAGUGGCGCAGACUACGACAUUAAGUUAUCCGUCCGUCGGGAGGUACGGUCGCGAAGAAUUAAAACUAACGAAAGGAAGUUAGUACGGCGUGAGACGUAGACCGAACGGACGACGACGAGGGAGGAGG